GUAAAGUGGCGACCCGGGUGAGUAACACGUGACUAACCUACCUCCCGAGUGGGGAAUAAACUCCGGGAAAACCGGGGCUAAUACCGCAUAACAUCGCGAGAUCAAAGCAGCAAUGCGCUUGGAGAGGGGGUCGCGGCUGAUUAGCUAGUUGGCGGGGUAACGGCCCACCAAGGCGAAGAUCGGUAUCCGGCCUGAGAGGGCGCACGGACACACUGGAACUGAAACACGGUCCAG
This 234-nucleotide ribosomal RNA is filed under the name uncultured bacterium. Its description in RNAcentral is "partial 16S ribosomal RNA". It matches the Rfam family "Bacterial small subunit ribosomal RNA", at positions 103 to 334 of the family's 1533-position model. The record is from RNAcentral.